Molecule: unclassified non-coding RNA, 355 nt
Filed under: soil metagenome
Description: partial contains 5.8S ribosomal RNA, internal transcribed spacer 2, and large subunit ribosomal RNA
Rfam family: 5.8S ribosomal RNA (bases 1-120)
Source: RNAcentral
GAUGAAGAACGCAGCGAAAUGCGAUAAGUAAUGUGAAUUGCAGAAUUCGGUGAAUCAUCGAAUCUUUGAACGCACAUUGCGCCCAUUAGUAUUCUAGUGGGCAUGCCUGUUCGAGCGUCAUUAAGUCCACUUAAGCCCUGCUUAGUGUUGGGAGACUGCUCCAGCGGUGCUACCCUGUAGCUACCCUGCAGCUCCUCAAAGACAGCGGCGGAGUUGUGGUAUCCUCUGAGCUUAGUAACUUGUUCUAGCUUUCGAGUACACCACUUCCCCUGCCGUAAAACCCUUAAUUUUUAAUGGUUGACCUCGGAUCAGGUAGGAAUACCCGCUGAACUUAAGCAUAUCAAUAAGCGGAGGA